AGUGAACGCUGGCGGUAGGCCUAACACAUGCAAGUCGAACGGCAGCACAGUAAGAGCUUGCUCUUACGGGUGGCGAGUGGCGGACGGGUGAGGAAUACAUCGGAAUCUACUUUUUCGUGGGGGAUAACGUAGGGAAACUUACGCUAAUACCGCAUACGACCUACGGGUGAAAGCAGGGGAUCUUCGGACCUUGCGCGAUUGAAUGAGCCGAUGUCGGAUUAUCUAGUUGGCGGGGUAAAGGCCCACCAAGGCGACGAUCCGUAGCUGGUCUGAGAGGAUGAUCAGCCACACUGGAACUGGGACACGGUCCAGACUCCUACGGGAGGCAGCAGUGGGGAAUAUUGGACAAUGGGCGCAAGCCUGAUCCAGCCAUACCGCGUGGGUGAAGAAGGCCUUCGGGUUGUAAGGCCCUUUCGUUGGGAAAGAAAAGCAGCAGGUUAAUACCCCGCUGUUCUGACGGUACCCAAAGAAUAAGCACCGGCUAACUUCGUG
This 492-nucleotide ribosomal RNA is filed under the name uncultured bacterium. Its description in RNAcentral is "partial 16S ribosomal RNA". It matches the Rfam family "Bacterial small subunit ribosomal RNA", at positions 29 to 507 of the family's 1533-position model. The record is from RNAcentral.